This 71-nucleotide transfer RNA is filed under the name Stegodyphus mimosarum. It matches the Rfam family "tRNA". Rfam says of the family: Transfer RNA (tRNA) molecules are approximately 80 nucleotides in length. The record is from Rfam by way of RNAcentral. Lineage: Eukaryota; Metazoa; Arthropoda; Arachnida; Araneae; Eresidae.
GCGUUCGUGGUGUAACGGUAGCAUACUCGGCGCGUAAUCGAGAGGUCUAGGUUCGAGUCCCGGCGAAGGUA